UACGUAGGGCGCAAGCGUUGUCCGGAAUUAUUGGGCGUAAAGAGCUCGUAGGUGGUGUGUCGCGUCUGCCGUGAAAGCCCGGGGCUUAACUCCGGGUCUGCGGUGGAUACGGGCAGACUAGAGGCAGGUAGGGGAGAACGGAAUUCCCGGUGUAGCGGUGGAAUGCGCAGAUAUCAGGAAGAACACCCGUGGCGAAGGCGGCUCUCUGGAACGCAACUGACGCUGAGACGCGAAAGCGUGGGGAGCAAACAGG
This 253-nucleotide ribosomal RNA is filed under the name uncultured bacterium. Its description in RNAcentral is "partial 16S ribosomal RNA". It matches the Rfam family "Bacterial small subunit ribosomal RNA", at positions 524 to 776 of the family's 1533-position model. The record is from RNAcentral.